Molecule: long non-coding RNA, 1023 nt
Filed under: Homo sapiens (human)
Lineage: Eukaryota; Metazoa; Chordata; Mammalia; Primates; Hominidae
Description: HSALNT0353637
Source: RNAcentral
AAUUGUCUGCUGGACAUUCCUCCCUGAUACAUCUCACAGGUAACCCGCUCCAAAGUCAAUUUUAGGGCCCUCCUCCCCACUGCGUCCGUCCUCCUGCUCUCCUGGCCUCUGGAAUGGUCCCCGCCCAGCCAGUUUCUGACACCAGACGCUGUCCUGGGCCUCGCCCCGCCUUCCCACCCCCACCCAAACGCGCGUACUCUCGGCCUGGCCUGCGUAAGCCCGGCCCGCACCCGCCCUGCCGGGCUCCUGCUCCAUUGCUGCCCCAGCCCACGUCCCUCACGGCUAGACCCUGAGUCUGUCACCCGUUGGCAGCGCCCAGAAUGGGCCAAGCACCCUCCCCGCCCCUCUCCAGGGUGCUGCUGGCCUCGCUUCCGCGGCCCCUCCCGCGAGGCCUACCCCCACCCCCACCCCGCGGCGCCCCUUGGUUCUCCUUCCUGGCCCCUGGCCCCCACUUUACAUCCUGAUUUGUAACCCCGCAGUGACUAACAUAGCUCCCACCUCCUGGCCUGUUCACGGGGGUCCCCAGGGGUGCGCGGACCGUGCGGGGGUCCCCGCGGCCAACCCAGCGCCAGAAGCGCAGGGAGCACGUGGCAAACGGUGGGGGGAACAAUCAAGACGGACCCAAAGCGGUUGCAGCAGAGAGGGAGGCAUCCAAUCCCGUCCACCAGCCCCCAAAGGCCGUCGUCCUGCCUGGAGAACCUAGCAGUGCUAGGAAACUGACUUUUCUCAAAAAUGAACUCUCCCUACCAAUCUGCACCAUGAAAUUAUUUCAGCAAACAAAAAAUAAUGGUUGCCCAUCACCGCACACUGCGUGUGACUCAGCCAUCACUCACAGGCAAAGAAGGGUGUUCUCUCCUCUCCCUGUCAGUUACUAAUUCUCUGUAAAUGACCAUUUGACAUCCUGGCCGGGGAGGAUUCAGAUCAGAGAUGACUUCCCCACUGCCACAAAGUAUGGUUCUGGGAAGGACAACCAGCCCCAAGGCCACGAAGAUUCUGAAAAAGUUUCUUCUCAUUUGAAGUCCA